This 732-nucleotide long non-coding RNA is filed under the name Olea europaea (common olive). RNAcentral's name for it is "long non-coding RNA (OEUR_LNC011909)". The record is from RNAcentral. Lineage: Eukaryota; Viridiplantae; Streptophyta; Magnoliopsida; Lamiales; Oleaceae.
UUAUAAAAGGACAUUUAUAUUCAUUAAUACUAAAGAUUCUAUAAUAAGUAUAGAAAUUAUAAGGCAUAAAUACUAUAAUCUAAUUAUUACAAAAAUCUGGCAUGAGAGACUUUGUCAUUUAGAUUAAAUGUAAUUCCAAAGUUACAUAAAGAUGUAUACUUGGGAUUAAUUGAUUUUGACAAGUAAGAAUUAUGCAUGUCUGGCACAAUAACCAAAUCUUCUUUUGCUUGAAAAGAAGAAAGGUCAGCAUAAUUACUGGUCUAAUGCAUAGCGAUGCAUAUGGAUUCAUGUCAAUCAAUGUCAGGUAAUGUUUCUCUUAUUUCAUCAAUGAUCAAGUAUACUUGAUGAAAACUCAAACAUGAAACUCUUGAAAAGUUCAAGGGAUUCACACUAGAAUUAGAGAAACAAAGAGGUAAAGAUACCUUCACAUUAAGAUUUGAUCAAGUGAGAGUAUCUUAAAGAUAAAAUUUAGAUUAUUUAAGAGCGAAUGAGAUUCUCGUGCAGUGGACUCCUUCAUAUGCAUUGCAGCAAGGUGGUGUAUCUAGAAGGAGGAAUCGUUAAUUAUUUCAUGUAAUGCGAUUAAUAACAAGCCAUGCAAAUUUCUCAAAAUUGUUUUGAGGUCACGCAUUGAUUGCAGUGUGCAACACACUAAACCAUGUCCCAUCUAAAUUGGUUAACAGAACUCCAUACGAGUUAUGGAAAGACAAUAGUCCCAAUUUAUCUUAUAUGAAA